GAAGCAAAGUCGUGAGGCGGAGCAAAACACAAAACACAGUCUCAGUUCAGAUUGUAGGCUGAAACUCGCCUAUAUGAAGUCGGAAUUGCUAGUAAUCGCGGAUCAGCAUGCCGCGGUGAAUACGUUCCCGGGCCUUGUACACACCGCCCGUCACACCAUGGGAGCCGGUAAUACCCGAAGUCAGUAGUCCAACCUCGUGAGGACGCUGCCGAAGGUAGGAUUGGCGACUGGGGUGAAGUCGUAACAAGGUAUC
This 253-nucleotide ribosomal RNA is filed under the name uncultured bacterium. Its description in RNAcentral is "partial 16S ribosomal RNA". It matches the Rfam family "Bacterial small subunit ribosomal RNA", at positions 1246 to 1500 of the family's 1533-position model. The record is from RNAcentral.